This 2903-nucleotide ribosomal RNA is filed under the name Enterobacter cloacae. RNAcentral's name for it is "bacterial LSU rRNA". It matches the Rfam family "Bacterial large subunit ribosomal RNA". The record is from RNAcentral. Lineage: Bacteria; Pseudomonadati; Pseudomonadota; Gammaproteobacteria; Enterobacterales; Enterobacteriaceae.
UUAAGCGACUAAGCGUACACGGUGGAUGCCCUGGCAGUCAGAGGCGAUGAAGGACGUGCUAAUCUGCGAAAAGCGCCGGCGAGGUGAUAUGAACCUUUGACCCGGCGAUGUCCGAAUGGGGAAACCCAGUGCAAUUCGUUGCACUAUCGUUAACUGAAUACAUAGGUUAACGAGGCGAACCGGGGGAACUGAAACAUCUAAGUACCCCGAGGAAAAGAAAUCAACCGAGAUUCCCCCAGUAGCGGCGAGCGAACGGGGAGCAGCCCAGAGUCUGAAUCAGCUUGUGUGUUAGUGGAAGCGUCUGGAAAGUCGCACGGUACAGGGUGACAGUCCCGUACACGAAAGCACACAGGUUGUGAACUCGAAGAGUAGGGCGGGACACGUGGUAUCCUGUCUGAAUAUGGGGGGACCAUCCUCCAAGGCUAAAUACUCCUGACUGACCGAUAGUGAACCAGUACCGUGAGGGAAAGGCGAAAAGAACCCCGGCGAGGGGAGUGAAAAAGAACCUGAAACCGUGUACGUACAAGCAGUGGGAGCACCUUCGUGGUGUGACUGCGUACCUUUUGUAUAAUGGGUCAGCGACUUAUAUUCUGUAGCAAGGUUAACCGUAUAGGGGAGCCGAAGGGAAACCGAGUCUUAACUGGGCGUUAAGUUGCAGGGUAUAGACCCGAAACCCGGUGAUCUAGCCAUGGGCAGGUUGAAGGUUGGGUAACACUAACUGGAGGACCGAACCGACUAAUGUUGAAAAAUUAGCGGAUGACUUGUGGCUGGGGGUGAAAGGCCAAUCAAACCGGGAGAUAGCUGGUUCUCCCCGAAAGCUAUUUAGGUAGCGCCUCGUGAACUCAUCUUCGGGGGUAGAGCACUGUUUCGGCUAGGGGGCCAUCCCGGCUUACCAACCCGAUGCAAACUACGAAUACCGAAGAAUGUUAUCACGGGAGACACACGGCGGGUGCUAACGUCCGUCGUGAAGAGGGAAACAACCCAGACCGCCAGCUAAGGUCCCAAAGUCAUGGUUAAGUGGGAAACGAUGUGGGAAGGCACAGACAGCCAGGAUGUUGGCUUAGAAGCAGCCAUCAUUUAAAGAAAGCGUAAUAGCUCACUGGUCGAGUCGGCCUGCGCGGAAGAUGUAACGGGGCUAAACCAUGCACCGAAGCUGCGGCAGCGACGCGUAUGCGUUGUUGGGUAGGGGAGCGUUCUGUAAGCCGUUGAAGGUGUGCUGUGAGGCAUGCUGGAGGUAUCAGAAGUGCGAAUGCUGACAUAAGUAACGAUAAAGCGGGUGAAAAGCCCGCUCGCCGGAAGACCAAGGGUUCCUGUCCAACGUUAAUCGGGGCAGGGUGAGUCGACCCCUAAGGCGAGGCCGAAAGGCGUAGUCGAUGGGAAACAGGUUAAUAUUCCUGUACUUGGUGUUACUGCGAAGGGGGGACGGAGAAGGCUAUGUUAGCCGGGCGACGGUUGUCCCGGUUUAAGCAUGUAGGCGGAGGUUCCAGGUAAAUCCGGUACCUUUUAACGCUGAGGUGUGAUGACGAGGCACUACGGUGCUGAAGUAACAAAUGCCCUGCUUCCAGGAAAAGCCUCUAAGCAUCAGGUAACACGAAAUCGUACCCCAAACCGACACAGGUGGUCAGGUAGAGAAUACCAAGGCGCUUGAGAGAACUCGGGUGAAGGAACUAGGCAAAAUGGUGCCGUAACUUCGGGAGAAGGCACGCUGAUAUGUAGGUGAAGCCCCUGCGGGUGGAGCUGAAAUCAGUCGAAGAUACCAGCUGGCUGCAACUGUUUAUUAAAAACACAGCACUGUGCAAACACGAAAGUGGACGUAUACGGUGUGACGCCUGCCCGGUGCCGGAAGGUUAAUUGAUGGGGUUAGCGGCAACGCGAAGCUCUUGAUCGAAGCCCCGGUAAACGGCGGCCGUAACUAUAACGGUCCUAAGGUAGCGAAAUUCCUUGUCGGGUAAGUUCCGACCUGCACGAAUGGCGUAAUGAUGGCCAGGCUGUCUCCACCCGAGACUCAGUGAAAUUGAACUCGCUGUGAAGAUGCAGUGUACCCGCGGCAAGACGGAAAGACCCCGUGAACCUUUACUAUAGCUUGACACUGAACACUGGUCCUUGAUGUGUAGGAUAGGUGGGAGGCUUUGAAGCGUGGACGCCAGUCUGCGUGGAGCCGUCCUUGAAAUACCACCCUUUAAUGGCUGGUGUUCUAACGUAGACCCGUAAUCCGGGUUGCGGACAGUGUCUGGUGGGUAGUUUGACUGGGGCGGUCUCCUCCCAAAGAGUAACGGAGGAGCACGAAGGUUAGCUAAUCCUGGUCGGACAUCAGGAGGUUAGUGCAAUGGCAUAAGCUAGCUUGACUGCGAGAGUGACGGCUCGAGCAGGUGCGAAAGCAGGUCAUAGUGAUCCGGUGGUUCUGAAUGGAAGGGCCAUCGCUCAACGGAUAAAAGGUACUCCGGGGAUAACAGGCUGAUACCGCCCAAGAGUUCAUAUCGACGGCGGUGUUUGGCACCUCGAUGUCGGCUCAUCACAUCCUGGGGCUGAAGUAGGUCCCAAGGGUAUGGCUGUUCGCCAUUUAAAGUGGUACGCGAGCUGGGUUUAGAACGUCGUGAGACAGUUCGGUCCCUAUCUGCCGUGGGCGCUGGAGAAUUGAGGGGGGCUGCUCCUAGUACGAGAGGACCGGAGUGGACGCAUCACUGGUGUUCGGGUUGUCAUGCCAAUGGCACUGCCCGGUAGCUAAAUGCGGAAAAGAUAAGUGCUGAAAGCAUCUAAGCACGAAACUUGCCCCGAGAUGAGUUCUCCCUGACCCUUUAAGGGUCCUGAAGGAACGUUGAAGACGACGACGUUGAUAGGUCGGGUGUGUAAGCGCAGCGAUGCGUUGAGCUAACCGAUACUAAUGAACCGUGAGGCUUAACCUU